UACACUUAACCUUGAUUGAAGCCAAAAGGCUAACCAUUGUUACUGGUUAUAUUGGAAUUACCCUGUCGUUUUUACAGUGUAU
RNAcentral lists this transfer RNA (82 nucleotides) under Gammarus fossarum. Its description in RNAcentral is "tRNA-Asn". Lineage: Eukaryota; Metazoa; Arthropoda; Malacostraca; Amphipoda; Gammaridae. The record is from RNAcentral.